CCGGCCCAUUUCACAUGCAUUUAUGUUUUCUUUAAAGAUACACUACAGCUCAUUUUCCACAUUUUCAUAUUGGUUUUUUUUAACACUCAUUGAUACAAUGGUAGAAAUCAUAUCAAUGCUGAAAAGUUGAGCAAUGUAAAUUCAUUAAUAAGCUCUAGACAGCCGUUUAAAGAUCGUCCGGAAUUCAAAGGUUUCUUCCUACUGACUCGGACUUUUAAAUUCAUGUUUACAUCACGUGACUUUGAAUGACAGCAUGUCGGCAGACCGGACAGCGGAGUUGCAGAUAGUAGCACUGAAAGUGAAUUGGACGCUUCUUCAAGUCCACGGAGGGAGGUAGACGAGAGUAAAAGGGGCCGUGGACGUGGUAGGCCACGUAGAACCAGAAGAGGUAGAGGACGACCCAGAUCGCGACAGACUGGUGCAGUACGACCUAGGGCCAGUAGGGGACAAUCCGUUCGAGGAAGGCGACAAAGAGGACAGUUGUGCACUACUCCUGAUGUCGAAGUUGCUCUAUAAGAGAGGAGGAGGAAUAUCGAGGUGAUUUGUACAGAAGCGAGCCCCAGCAGGAAUGAUGGCCUCUUUUGAAAUGAAGAUUUCAUGCCUUACUCCUACUGGGACUACAACUAACUUUGGACCUGGUCACUCGCAGAUACAGCAUGAAGUGUGCCCUCUUGAUGUACAUGGGGAUGGGAGUGAUACAGAAGGGGAACUAAUUGGAAGAACGUCUGCUGCUGGUGGUGGUGCUGGACUGUCUUGAAUCUGUUGCCUAACCGACUUGAUAUUCUUCUGUUUAAUAUGGGAGCCGUUUCACCUUUAUAGAUUUUUUUCCCCUAACAUUUAAAACAUAUCUUUUCAAUAUCAAUUUUGUCUAUAGCACAAAAUAAAAAUUCUAAGAUCAAUUAAAGCGUUUGAUUUUUGU
Long non-coding RNA from Ostrea edulis (European flat oyster), 919 nucleotides. RefSeq lists it as uncharacterized. The transcript is spliced from 3 exons. NCBI's taxonomy places the organism in Eukaryota, Metazoa, Mollusca, Bivalvia, Ostreida, Ostreidae. The record is from RefSeq and is a predicted model, not a curated record.